UACGUAGGGUCCGAGCGUUGUCCGGAAUUACUGGGCGUAAAGAGCUCGUAGGUGGUUUGUCGCGUUGUUCGUGAAAACUCACAGCUUAACUGUGGGCGUGCGGGCGAUACGGGCAGACUUGAGUACUGCAGGGGAGACUGGAAUUCCUGGUGUAGGCGGUGGAAUGCGCAGAUAUCAGGAGGAACACCGGUGGCGAAGGCGGGUCUCCUGGGCAGUGAACUGACGCUGAGGAGCGAAAGCGUGGGGAGCGAACAGG
RNAcentral lists this ribosomal RNA (256 nucleotides) under uncultured bacterium. RNAcentral describes it as "partial 16S ribosomal RNA". It matches the Rfam family "Bacterial small subunit ribosomal RNA", at positions 524 to 776 of the family's 1533-position model. The record is from RNAcentral.